CCUACGGGAGGCAGCAGUAGGGAAUUUUCCACAAUGGGCGAAAGCCUGAUGGAGCAACGCCGCGUGCAGGAUGAAUGCCUUAGGGUUGUAAACUGCUUUUAUAUGUGACGCGGUAGCAUAUGAAUAAGGAUCGGCUAACUCCGUGCCAGCAGCCGCGGUCAUACGGAGGAUCCAAGCGUUAUCCGGAAUUACUGGGCGUAAAGAGUGCGUAGGCGGCAUAGUAAGCAGAUAGUGAAAGCGUGUGGCUCAACCAUACUCACAUUAUCUGAACUGCUAAGCUAGAGGAUGAGAGAGGUCACUGGAAUUCCUAGUGUAGGAGUGAAAUCCGUAGAUAUUAGGAGGAACACCAAUGGCGUAGGCAGGUGACUGGCUCAUCUGACGCUCAGGCACGAAAGCGUGGGUAGCAAACGGGAUUAGAUACCCUUGUAGUC
RNAcentral lists this ribosomal RNA (431 nucleotides) under uncultured bacterium. RNAcentral's name for it is "partial 16S ribosomal RNA". It matches the Rfam family "Bacterial small subunit ribosomal RNA", at positions 338 to 795 of the family's 1533-position model. The record is from RNAcentral.